GAUGAACGCUGGCGGCGUGCCUAACACAUGCAAGUCGAACGGAGUUCUUAAGGAAUGCGACUUCGGUCAAAUGACUUUUGAACUUAGUGGCGGACGGGUGAGUAACGCGUGAGCAACCUGCCUUUCAGAGGGGGAUAACAUUUGGAAACAGAUGCUAAUACCGCAUAAGAUUACAGUACCGCAUGAUACAGUGAUCAAAGGAGCAAUCCGCUGAAAGAUGGGCUCGCGUCCGAUUAGAUAGUUGGUGAGGUAACGGCUCACCAAGUCGACGAUCGGUAGCCGGACUGAGAGGUUGAACGGCCACAUUGGGACUGAGACACGGCCCAGACUCCUACGGGAGGCAGCAGUGGGGAAUAUUGCACAAUGGGCGAAAGCCUGAUGCAGCAACGCCGCGUGAGGGAAGACGGUUUUCGGAUUGUAAACCUCUGUUUUCGGUGACGAAUAAAUGACGGUAACCGAGUAGGAAGCCACGGCUAACUACGUGCCAGCAGCCGCGGUAAUACGUAGGUGGCAAGCGUUAUCCGGAAUUACUGGGUGUAAAGGGAGCGCAGGCGGGAUAGCAAGUCAGCUGUGAAAACUAUGGGCUCAACCCAUAAACUGCAGUUGAAACUGUUAUUCUUGAGUGGAGUAGAGGCAAGCGGAAUUCCGAGUGUAGCGGUGAAAUGCGUAGAUAUUCGGAGGAACACCAGUGGCGAAGGCGGCUUGCUGGGCUCUAACUGACGCUGAGGCUCGAAAGUGUGGGGAGCAAACAGGAUUAGAUACCCUGGUAGUCCACACUGUAAACGAUGAUAGCUAGGUGUGGGGGGUCUGACCC
RNAcentral lists this ribosomal RNA (814 nucleotides) under uncultured bacterium. RNAcentral's name for it is "bacterial SSU rRNA". It matches the Rfam family "Bacterial small subunit ribosomal RNA", at positions 28 to 839 of the family's 1533-position model. The record is from RNAcentral.